This 1033-nucleotide long non-coding RNA is filed under the name Nicotiana benthamiana. RNAcentral's name for it is "long non-coding RNA (NBEN_LNC021133)". Lineage: Eukaryota; Viridiplantae; Streptophyta; Magnoliopsida; Solanales; Solanaceae. The record is from RNAcentral.
CAGGAUUCAAGCUAGUUUCUGAUUUCAAAAGUUAGGCUACACGAUCAACCCACGCUAUAUCAAAACGAGGGCCUAUCACUAAUAUAUUAAGAUAAACAGUGCACAGUUUGUCUCAUUUAUAAAAUAUAAACACGAAUUAGAAGUAAAUUUAGACAAAUACAAACCACCUACUGUCUAUUCACUUGUACGAACUCGACCACAAAUUUCUCGUAAGACAAAGAGAAGAUUAUUUCAUUUCAUCAUUCAAUUCAUAGCUUCGUCAAAAUGUGAUUCGAAUGCAUACCUAGAAAUCAAAUCACAACAGAAUAAAGGAGAUCAGCGGCAAUAUUAAUUGAAAUCAGAUGAAGUCCAGCAGUCUCAACAUCCCAAAAUUAAUUUAAAGCCAAGCACAGAGUAGAAGACCAACCGAACCACAUCAAAAUGAACCCAAAUGAAACCAAAAGCACUUGACACCUUCAGCCAGACUCAAAACUGAACUAAGCAAAUGAUAGGACCCCAAACCAAAUAGGAAUUUGACCCAAAUGAUUUCAAUAACACCUCACAGACUCGAAAUAUUCCCAGGCACCCUCUGAAAUUUAUCAACAGACAACCACAACUCAAAUAAACCCAAAACUAACUCAAAUCUGAAUAUGGACGCCUCUGAAGCUUCCAGCUAACACAUAUUGAACUAGGGGAUGUCAAUUGAUAGCCGAAAGUUGAAAUUUCCCCUAAGGAUUCAAUGGAACAGUAUUCUAAAGUAUUUUGUUUUUAGUGUUCUGAUGAUUUCUACUGUUUUUGUUUUGUUUUUUUGAAGAAGCAGCUAAGACCUAAGGAAAUUUUAGACCUGAAGUUUCAAUUCCAGAUAUGGAAGCUUUGGGGGAGUAUUUUGGGGAAAUUUUAGGCUGCCCAAACUUGGAAUGAAACUGAAAUUUCCAAUGAAACAGUGCUAUUUUUGUGUUUUUGAAGUUUUCUGGUUCUAUUUUUCUUUUUUAAGACUUGAAGUUUGGAUAUCACAUUUCAGAUUUGAAUUUGUAAAGAAAGUUCAGGAAAUUUU